RNAcentral lists this ribosomal RNA (371 nucleotides) under uncultured bacterium. RNAcentral's name for it is "bacterial SSU rRNA". It matches the Rfam family "Bacterial small subunit ribosomal RNA", at positions 527 to 896 of the family's 1533-position model. The record is from RNAcentral.
GUAGGAGGCAAGCGUUAUCCGGAUUCACUGGGCGUAAAGCGCGUGCAGGCGGUUCGGUAAGUUGGGCGUGAAAUCUCCUGGCUUAACUAGGAGAGGUCGUUCAAUACUACCGGACUUGAGAGUGAUAGAGGAAGAUGGAAUUCCCGGUGUAGUGGUGAAAUGCGUAGAUAUCGGGAGGAACACCAGUGGCGAAAGCGAUCUUCUGGAUCAUUUCUGACGCUCAGACGCGAAAGCUAGGGUAGUAAACGGGAUUAGAGACCCCGGUAAUCCUAGCCGUAAACGAUGUAAACUUGGCGUCGGUGGCUUAAACUCCAUCGGUGCCGCAGCUAACGCGAUAAGUUUACCGCCUGGGGACUACGAUCGCAAGAUUA